Molecule: non-coding RNA, 81 nt
Organism: Dioszegia hungarica
Lineage: Eukaryota; Fungi; Basidiomycota; Tremellomycetes; Tremellales; Bulleribasidiaceae
Source: the annotation of a RefSeq genome assembly
GGGGAUGUAGCUCAGGGGUAGAGCGCUUGCUUAGCAUUAAUAAGCUGCAUGAGGCCCAGCGUUCGAUUCGCUGUUUCUCCA